GCGGAUUGAGGCGGCUAGGGCGGCAUCAAUACCGUUGAAGGGCGGCGGCGCGGUGGCAGCACGGAGGUGCGCGUCGAUGCCGUAGAAGAGGGCCUCGUCGGCGAGCUCUUGUUUGGAGAAGCGGCGCGCGGUGGAAGGAAGGUGAGAGGUGCGGAGGAGCGAGAGGAGGACGGAGAAGAUCUCCGGGUCACGGUCGAUGAAAACCGGGUUCGGGUCGGCCGAGCGACGGUUCGAAAGGGCGUAGAGGAGCGAGUCGGGGCCGCCGGAGCGGAGUGUGGAUAGCGUUGUCUCGAAGUACUUUCC
RNAcentral lists this long non-coding RNA (303 nucleotides) under Phaseolus vulgaris (common bean). Its description in RNAcentral is "long non-coding RNA (PVUL_LNC004541)". The record is from RNAcentral. Lineage: Eukaryota; Viridiplantae; Streptophyta; Magnoliopsida; Fabales; Fabaceae.